This 597-nucleotide ribosomal RNA is filed under the name Hepatozoon canis. RNAcentral's name for it is "SSU rRNA". It matches the Rfam family "Eukaryotic small subunit ribosomal RNA", at positions 224 to 810 of the family's 1831-position model. The record is from RNAcentral. Lineage: Eukaryota; Apicomplexa; Hepatozoidae.
AUGCAUGCUUUUACAGUAUGAAAAUUGGUGAUUUAUAAUAACUUAGCAAAUCGCAAAGUGAAAACAGGCGAUAAAUCAUUCAAGUUUCUGACCUAUCAGCUUUCGACGGUAUGGUAUUGGCUUACCGUGGCAGUGACGGUUAACGGGGGAUUAGGGUUCGAUUCCGGAGAGGGAGCCUGAGAAACGGCUACCACAUCUAAGGAAGGCAGCAGGCGCGCAAAUUACCCAAUUCUAACAGUUUGAGAGAGGUAGUAACAAGAAAUAACAAUACAAGGCAGUUAAAAUGCUUUGUAAUUGGAAUGAUAGAAAUUUAAACCCUUUUUAAAGUAUCAAUUGGAGGGCAAGUCUGGUGCCAGCAGCCGCGGUAAUUCCAGCUCCAAUAGCGUAUAUUAAAAUUGUUGCAGUUAAAAAGCUCGUAGUUGAAGUUCUGCUAAAAGUAACCGGUCUGCUUUGAAUAAAAGUGGUAUCUUGGUAUGUAUUUAGCAAUGAUGUCCUUUGAAGUGUUUUUUACUUUAUUGUAAUAAAGCAUAUUCAGGACUUUUACUUUGAGAAAAUUAGAGUGUUUCUAGCAGGCCAACGCUUUGAAUACUGCAGCAU